AGAUCUUAACCUAAGAAUAUCUCUCAAAAACCCCUUUAAACAAGCUUUCCUAGGUCAGGAUCUGCUUUCAGGAGAACCGGAAAAAAAGGAGUGUUUUCGUGCUUGGGGUGCGAGAGGUUCCAACCUCUAUUUACGAAUGCCCCUUUUUUGUUUUUUGACGAUUCAGAAACUGACAAGAUUGAGAAGUUGAGCAUCAAGAAACCUUCCCUAGAGGCAACAGUAGAAGUUACUUUGAUUUGCAAUCAUCAGUGACAACAAACAGAGAUUUUGGUGUAUGAUUUUGUGUUUCAAGUACCUUAACUGGUAAUUCCUUAUCCAGGUAACCAUAUCUGGCCACUUUAUAUGCAAUUUACAAUAUAACUGCAGACAGUGUGGCAUGCAUUAACGAUUUCAACAAAAAACUAGACAGAUUUUACUAGCUCCUCACAAUUUCCAUGCUUGAGAGCAAUUGAUCUAGCACAAGGAUUAUAGCUUUGGGUGCAAGCAAGUUUCUAAUAUAAUAGAAAACUACAAAAUUUGCAUAAAAUUAGGCUUUUGGUCUUGCGGUAUGAUUCUGGGAAUGCCCUACAUUUUGAUAAUUUGGAAACUCAAUACCUUACUUCAUUUGUUAUUUAGCAAUUAAAUACCAACAAACACAGGUAUUAUUUCUAAAUUAGCCUUUUGGAGCUUUGGAAGCUGACAAGCUUGACUUGUUUGUCUGUUUUUUUAAAUAACAAUUAGCAUCAGAGGCUCCAUGUGAAUGAGUGUUCAGAUCAUUGAUUCCUACGUCAACAGUUUUAGCUGGAAAAUUUUGAAUACCAACUAAGUGACAAAUUAAUGCAGUAAAAUAUUAUGUUGCAAGUAUUAGUUGGUGUUAAAAUAUAAGAUCAGAGGGGUAAAUAAGUAAACUCUCUUUUAUUCCUUCACUGUAACAGCAAAUUAUCUUGUCUUUUGUAUGCAAUCCUAAUAUAGAAUUGCAGAAAAUGUGACUUGCGAAAACAAUUUUUAAGAUAGAAUUAAAUUAACUCCCUUAAUCUCAAUUAGGGCAUUUGGUCUAGUGGUAUGAUUCUCGCUUUGGGUGCGAGAGGUCCCGAGUUCGAUUCUCGGAAUGCCCCUAUAUUUUUUUCACAUUCAUCUAUGCAUGUAUUGUUCUCAUGCGUGUUUCUCAUUGACUUGGCAAAAGGCAUACACUGAUUUAGCUAUUUUAGUCCUUGAGAAUUGAGCACCAAGACAGACUCCCAAGAAGCACUUAAAGUUUCUUUGAUUACUUAUCUCCACUAGUUUGAAAGCUGAGCCACAACACUGAGUUUGUGUUAUGUGAUAUCAAGUCUCUAGUACAUCAUUUGAACUCUACAUCCUACAAUGAAGUAAUAUUGCUAAGUCAUCUAUGUUAUUUCAAAUUGAAAAAGUAGGUUUUGAAUUGUGGUCUUGUCCAUGAUGUCUAGCACCCAAAAUCUUAACAGAAAUGUACGUGAACAACUUGCACAAUUAUUUAUCUGUGUCCACUACGCAUGUAGCAUUAGCAUGUACUAAGAUGUGAUUCAAAUCAUAUGCUGUCAAAUUCUUGCUUGUUAUAUGCAUAGAUUCUUACACUCUUGUUUGUAUGAUAUACAUAAAUUGGUCAAAUCUGAUAGUUGGUAAUGUUUAACCUAGACUGAUUCCAAGUUUAAAUAUGUUUGGUUGAAUGAAAAAACACAUUACAAUAAUCUAUAUAAUUGAUUGUUUGUGACUUGAAAAGUAGACAUAAUUAUAGUUGAAUUUGGGUGCAAUGGGGAUGGAAAAGUUUCAUCUUAAUAACUCUAAAUGUUGAUUCCCGCAUCCUCAGUUUUCUCAUCUGGAUUUUGGAGGCACUUUUAAUAAUGACUAACGAGUACUCCCUAUGUUAAAUGGUAAGUCUUUGGAAGGUAGUGUGUUGUGAUGCUAAUAUUAAUUGGAACUUGGAAAUGUGGUCUUGACUUCAUGACCAUGUGCUAAGUAAUUAGCUAUGCUACUUCUGUGGCAUAUUUUUCUUAAGUUCAGGUGCGGAAGAGAAGUACACUGAAGCAUUUGAAGUUUGGCAACUUUUUUUUUAAUUUUUGGUGGUUGAUGAGUGAAGACUAUUGCAACAAUGGAGAAUAAAGGAUUUAGGUAGCCCGCACUCUUUCAGAGGAUGAAAAAACAUUUAAAGUUUUUUUUUUGGCAAUGAACACUCAAUAGCUGUGAAGGAUUCAGCUUUUGGGAAUUGAGGAGGAAUGAGAAGAUUGAUGCACAGAGUAUUAACAUGGAACGGAAGGGGCUUAUCUUAUGGUCUUUAAUAAAAUCCCAUACUUCUGACAUUUCUUCAAUCUUUCCAUCACAUGCCAAUAUAUAUCAUGUGACUAAUCACGGACGAUAUUUAUACCGGGUUUCCUCAUUUUGCUAUAUUACUUUCAUUAUACAGCUAAAUUUAGCUGGGUAAGAUUACUUUCUAGGAGCAUGAAGUUUCUUACUCCCAAGAGAAGCAUCUUUUGCCGUCUAGUUUAUAAUGAUACUCCUAAUUGUAACCCGUUAGUUUACGUGCAAUUGCAUUUUUAUAUAGAACUCAAUAACGAACAAAUUAUACUUGUAGAC
Vigna angularis (adzuki bean) is the source of this 2568-nucleotide long non-coding RNA. RefSeq lists it as uncharacterized. The record is from RefSeq and is a predicted model, not a curated record. The transcript has 2 exons. NCBI's taxonomy places the organism in Eukaryota, Viridiplantae, Streptophyta, Magnoliopsida, Fabales, Fabaceae.